Molecule: ribosomal RNA, 253 nt
Filed under: uncultured bacterium
Lineage: Bacteria
Description: partial 16S ribosomal RNA
Rfam family: Bacterial small subunit ribosomal RNA
Source: RNAcentral
UACAGAGGUCCCAAGCGUUGUUCGGAUUCAUUGGGCGUAAAGGGUGCGUAGGUGGCGCCGUAAGUCAGGUGUGAAAUCUCGGGGCUUAACUCCGAAACUGCAUUUGAUACUGCGGUGCUUGAGGACUGGAGAGGAGACUGGAAUUUACGGUGUAGCAGUGAAAUGCGUAGCGAUCGUAAGGAAGACCAGUGGCGAAGGCGGGUCUCUGGACAGUUCCUGACGCUGAGGCACGAAGGCUAGGGGAGCAAACGGG